This is a long non-coding RNA of Oncorhynchus nerka (sockeye salmon), 2707 nucleotides long. RefSeq lists it as uncharacterized. The transcript has 6 exons. Lineage: Eukaryota; Metazoa; Chordata; Actinopteri; Salmoniformes; Salmonidae. The record is from RefSeq and is a predicted model, not a curated record.
AUGACUCAGCUGAGCUCAAUGAAGCCAAAACAUGUGCGUCCAGGCUUAAUUGGUUGCACAAAGACCAAGCCAGGAUGAGCAGACACGGAUUCAUUAAGCCAGGUGAAACCAAUCCUGGAUAGGUGCGCGCUCACGGCUCACUCAAAUAGACCCCGCCACAGAUCACAGAUUAACUGAUUUACCAUGGCAACUAGAGCCGCGUACUUUUCCCCGUCGGAAGCACAAAUCCUCAUGGAGGCAUACGAGGAGGUAAAAGAUAUAAUUAAGAAGAAAGGCAACACCGCCACAGUGAUAAAGCAAAGAGAAAAAGCGUGGCAAAGUAUUGCAGACCGCCUGAAUGCGUAAGUAGUGCACAAUUACACACUCACCGCUCCGCUGAAACAUCACAAUUACAAUUCAAAUAUUUAAUUCACAUCUCCAAAAAUGCAGUUGUACUGUAAUUAUGAAACGGUUAAAUUUUUAAUUGAAAUGCACUGCAGAUAUGAGUGAAAUUGUGUAAAGUAACUCCAUCACACUGUAUAAAGCUAUGAUACAUUUUUUGAUAUUUUUACUGAAAACAAGACAAAAAUACCAAGUAAUUUUUUGCAGUGUGACUCCAUUAAAUGUGUGUGUGUGUGUGUGUGUGUGUGUGUGUGUGUGUGUGUGUGUGUGUAGAUUAAACAUGAACGGGCCAAAACGGACAUGGCAGCAGGUCAAAAUCAAAUACAAGAACAUUCUGCAGAAUGCAGUGAAAAAGAAUACCCACAGACAAGGCACGGGUGGUGGGUCACCAAAGGCUGACCUUACCCCAGCAGAGGACAUGGCCUUGGAGCUAAAUAAAGGCAGGCCCGUCUUAGAGGGGAUCCCUGGGGGAAAGAGACGAGCAUAGGUUCCUCCCAAGAUGCCACCCGCUUCAUUCAAGUGCCUGGCAGCACUGUGUUCCUGUUAGAGCCACCAGCACAAGCACCAGACGAUGCUGAUCCAGGUGAAGGCCCCAGUGCAGCAGCAACAGCACAUGAUGGAGACGAUGAUGAGGAGGAGACCAUCUCUCUGGAUUCCAGAAGGCAUGAGGUAUCAUGUUAAGACUGUGAAAGUACUAUUUACUCUACAAUGGUGAGGAGUCCUCAUCAAAAUCAAAAAAUCUAAUUUCUUUUACAGGACCCAGAUGCUAUACAGUGGGAAAACCAGCCUGGCAACAUAGUGCGUAUUAAUAAAAGGACACCACAUCCUGCCAAAUUCCAGCUGCGCUAAUUGUAUUGUGUUCACAGAGCUCACAAGCUAUCAGAAAGUUGUAUGGCAACCACCUCCGGCGCCAAAUAGAACUGGCAGACAUAGACAUUCAGUACAAGAAGAAAAAGAUGGAAAAUCUUGCACUGGAGUCCGAAAUAAAAAAGAGGACAAUUAGGAAACUGGACCUUGAAAUAAAAAAACUUGAGAGGGAGGUGAGAUAUGCCUUCAAUGUACACUGUAUGCUAACUGUAAAACAAAUGUAUUAAUCAUUAUUUUUCUUUCCUCCCCCAGCUCCAAGAAGAUGACACAGCUCAAAAUAAAAAUUAGGUAUAUUCUCGUAAAGUCAAGUGAGCCAUGACAUAUGAGCUCUUAUUGUGAGCACACAGGACGGUGGCAUCUUUCUAAGGUUUUUUUUUUUCCCAGCAAUCAGUACAACCAAGUCAUCGUUAUAAGGCAUCGCCCUCUUUUGCCCACCCCCAGCACCAGGUGUGGCCACUAGCCUAUAUGAAGGCCCAAAAUUGUGUGUUCCUUUCUGCUCUGACUAUGGCAUGCCCAUUCGUGCGAGAUGUGGUGGAUGAAGAAGCACUUGUGCUGAGGAGAGCCUUCAGGCGAGAAAGGGUCUUCAGGGACCGGUUGGACCCACUGGCCUUCCCUGAUGACCAUCUAUAUGAAAGAUACAGGUUUUCUGCAGAUGGCAUCAGGUAUCUAUGCAGACUACUGGGUCCCAGGAUUAAGCACCGCACUGCACGGAGCCAUGCACUGAGUGUGGAGCAAAUGGUUUGUGUGGCCUUGCGCUUUUUGCUAGUGGAGCCUUCCUGUACUCAGUGGGGGAUGCAGAACAGCUGAACAAGGCCACAAUUUGCACAAUAAGGAGUGUGUGUCUGGCUAUCAAAGCAUUAGCAGAUGUCUUCAUCUCCUUCCCUGGCCACAGAAGACUCUGUGACAUCAAAGAGGAGUUCUAUAGGAUUGCAGGUCUGCAAUGCUGACUGUGUGAUCAGCAAUGUUGUGGCAAAAUGGCCUGGCUCAGUCCAUGACUCCAGAAUCUUUCGGGCCUCUGAAAUCUCUCAGUGCCUAUCACAAGGUGAAUUCUCUGGUGUGUUGCUGGGAGACAGGGGUAUGGCUGCCAGCCUUUUCUCCUGACACCUUUCACAGACCCCCAGGAAGCACAGCAGGCCUACAACCAUGCCCAUGCCAGGACCAGGGCCAGAGUUGAAAUGACCUUUGGCCUCCUGAAGGCACGCUUUCACUGCCUUCACAAAUUAAGGGUCAGCCCUGUUAGGGCAUGUGAUAUUACUGUGGCUUGUGCUGUCCUCCACAAUGUGGCCUGCCUGAGGAAGGAGAGGGCCCCAGAGUGCCACCAGCCAUGGACUGGGACAAUCCGGCAAUCUUCCCUGAUGACGACAGUGGUCGGCUGCUGAGGGACCAAUAUGUGUUGAAUUAUUUUAGUUAGUAUGUGUGCUUUCAAUUUUGGUUAAAUAUGUCCUGCGGUGGCAGAGGA